AAUAUAUUUUUAAUAAAGAUAGGCUUUCAAAGAAAUACCAUAUCUCUCUUCCUAUAGGUCCGUUUUCAGUGAUCUAGGUACCGUUUAAAAGAUAAUUUAAUACUCUAUAUUUUUUAUGAAGAAACUCUUUCCUGAUUCUGAUUAUUUAGAUGUCGAAAAAUUAAUGUUUUCAUGCUGGCUGUCGAAUUACAGUUUUUCAAAUUUCUUUCCAAUAUUGCCUCAGUAAAAGUACGAUAUCUAUUCUUUCCAGCAAUUUUUGUACCGUUAGAAAGAUAAUUCAAUAAUACAUAUUUUAUUUGAAGAAACCUUUCCCUAAUUCGGAGUUCUUACCUAUCAAAAGUCGGUAUCUUCACUCGAUUAGGAUAUCUCAUUUUAAGUUUUGUUUCAGAAAAAGUAUCUUUAGUAAAAAUUCAAUAUCUCUCUCAAUUUUGAUCAAUUUUAAAAGAUCUUUAUCUCGUUUCAAAGCUUAAGAAAAUAGCUACAUUUUUUAUGAAGGAAGUGUUGUCUGGAUCGGGGUUUAAAUAUUUUUAAAGCUUUUAUUUUUGGGCUGUAUUCAGAAAUCGGCAUGAUCUAGGAUUUUAAAGAAACUGUUUUAAUAAAAUAUGCAUAACUCCUAGGUUAUAACUCUAAUUUUGAUGAUCUCUAUACUGUUAGAAAGGUAUUUCGAUUAUCUAAAAACUUUGUGAACAGUAAAAUUUCUAAUUCAAACGUUUUAUGAGUCAAAUUCUGGGCUAAACUUGCUGUAUAGUAAGAGUUAUAAAUAUAUUGAGUUAUGAGUGGUCCAAGGGUUUCACUAAUUGUUGAUAGGGUCUAGAAGGUAUCGUAAGAGUUAAUUAAAGCGGAGUUGAGGUAAGAAAAAAUAAUUAUACUUUACACUUGCUUUUUAUAUGGUUUGAGUACCUAGUGAGAGUGCUUGAAUAAAUUGUAUUGAAACUGUAGAAUGUGAUAGUUUCGGCGAAAUAGUAUUUUGUUGAUAGAUUGUAUAUGGCUGUUUAAUCAUGUUCCAAGUACUUGUAAGUGGUUGGAAACUACACAUGUAUGGUGAUGUGGUAAGUGAGGCAGUGUACGUAAGGGUGCACUGGUCAUUGGUACUGCGUUCUGGUUAAGAACGUAAGACACUCCAGAUUUGUAAGGAAGCUGGAGUGUGAGUGUGUGAUAUUUCUGUAUUAGUGUGGCUGCAUCUAUUCAAAAACAUGAUGGGUUUGUUGUAUGUUUGAUGUAUGUGAUUGUGCUAUGAUGUGUGAAUGCUGGUACAUAGUAUUUUGUUUUUUGCUUACUUGGCUUUGCAGCUCACCCCUUAUUUACCCCCUAUGUGCAGAUAAGUAAGCCUGUAAGCUUUCAGUGACAAGUUGAGUCUGGGCAGCAUGGGGUGUAUCACGUGAGAACAUGUGAUAACUCUAUGAAAGCAAGGAAGAAGUGGAACAAAAGCUGAAAUUAGGGCAGAUUGCUGAAGCAAUGCUGAAGCGAAUUCAACAUUCUGGCAGUGACGUGGAAACACGAGUUUCACUUAUCCACAUCAGUAAAUUCGUCCCACUCACUCAAAAUACACCAGCUGGCUGCGGUGGAAGGAAGGGGACUAAAUCUAGUGGGCCAAAGUGCAAAAAGAAUUGGAUUUCUCAUUUUGGGGAGUGAUUUUGUACCUUAGGAACCAAACAACUAAAAGGGGAAAAGAAAGAAAGUACAUAUCUUCAACCUCCAUUACGUGAGCAAAGCUGCUGCAUUUUUUUUAGAAGAGAAGUAAAUGCAGAAAAAGUACAGCAGAGGAGGAAGAGAAAAGGGGGUCCAAGCUUUAGUGUUUGAUUUUUCUUUUACCCUCUCUUAAUUGUUUUCUUUCUCUUUCUCUUUUCUUGUUUCUUUUACUUAGAUAUUAAAACUUGUUAACUUGUAAACAAAGGGCAGCAGCCAUGGAUGAAUAUUUUUUACUUUGGAUUUUAUUUUCUUACUUGAAUAUGAGCUAGACUUUUGAGGCUUGAA
Long non-coding RNA from Cannabis sativa, 1974 nucleotides. RefSeq lists it as uncharacterized. The record is from RefSeq and is a predicted model, not a curated record. NCBI's taxonomy places the organism in Eukaryota, Viridiplantae, Streptophyta, Magnoliopsida, Rosales, Cannabaceae. The transcript is spliced from 2 exons.